Gopherus flavomarginatus (Mexican gopher tortoise) is the source of this 546-nucleotide long non-coding RNA. RefSeq lists it as uncharacterized. Lineage: Eukaryota; Metazoa; Chordata; Testudines; Testudinidae. The transcript has 3 exons. The record is from RefSeq and is a predicted model, not a curated record.
GCAACUUUAGCUACGAAAAUAGCGUAGCUGAAGUCGACAUACUUAGAGCUACUUACCGCGGUGUCUUCACUGCAGUAGGUCGACUGUUGCCACUCCCCUGGUGGAGUACCGGAGUCAACGGGAGACGGGGACCCCUGCUGGAUUGCUUGCUCCGGAGGAAUAAGAGCAACAACAGACUGUCAACUGAAAAUGAGGAUAAGUGAAGGUUUUGGUUUUCAAAGUGCGAUGGAAGCAGAGUGCUGGCUUUCAGUCAGAUCUGCUUGAUGCUUCAUGCAGGGGAAGCUUAAGUCCCAAGACUGAGAUCUCGAGAGUCCCAUCUGGGUCACUCUGAAUAUGGACAUAGGACUAUAGCCUUGGACUAAUUCUGAAAGAACUCUUUACAACUACAAAGCUCACCAUUUCUAUUAAGAAUCUGAUCUCAGAACUGUACUCAUGUCUGUAUGCAUACUGAUAUUUUACCCAAUACUCUCUCUUUUUUCUUUUUAAAUAAAUUUUAGGUUAGUUAAUAAGAAUUGGCUGUAAACAUGUAUUUGGGUAAGAUCUGAA